This 433-nucleotide ribosomal RNA is filed under the name uncultured bacterium. RNAcentral's name for it is "partial 16S ribosomal RNA". It matches the Rfam family "Bacterial small subunit ribosomal RNA", at positions 29 to 507 of the family's 1533-position model. The record is from RNAcentral.
AACGAACGCUGGCGGCAUGCCUAACACAUGCAAGUCGAACGAGACCUUCGUGCCUAGUGGCGCUCGGGUGUGUAACGCGUGGGAAGCUGCCCUUAGGUACGGAAUAAUUCCCUGCCAGGGGUGCUAAUAUCGGAAAAGGUCUCCGGACCAAAGAUGUAUCGGCUUUGGUUGGGCCCGCGUUGGUUUAGCUAGUUGGUAAGGUAAACGCCAACCAAGGCGACUAUCCAUAGCUGGUUUGGGAGGAUGGUCAGGCACACUGGGAGUGAGACCCGGCACGGACUCCUGCGGAAGGCAGCAAUGGGGAAUAUUGGACGAUGGGCGAGAGCAUGAUCCAUCCAUGCCGCGUAAGUGAUGAAGGCCUUAGGGUUGUGAAGCUCUUUUACACGUGCUGAUAAUGACGGUACCUGAAGAAUAAGCUCCGGCUAACUCCGUG